GGUCCUGCAAGGUCAUCUUCAGCUCUGUCCUGAACCAGGAUAUUUUCCUUUGCUUUACUCAUCAUAGACGAAGCAGACAAGGACUGAAAUCUUUUGAAAAUCGAAUAAUCAGGAAAAAGCCAGAUGAAUUGAAGGACAGAACGUGCUUUUCUGAACACACAAAACUUCCCUGAAAUAUCUGCCUAAUUCCUCUGAAACUAGAUGCUGUGAGUUGACACUGCAAGAAAAUGCUGGUUCUGAAAUCUUCUGCAUACCUCUUUGAUCUCUGUUGAUGCAGGAUAGAUAUCAGUGAUUGGAGGCUUUUAUUUUUAAAAGGUAACAAAGGUGAUUACUAAGACUAACUAGUCGUUUCACAAAUGACUACAGGCACCACCUGUACUUCUUUUCUCUC
RNAcentral lists this long non-coding RNA (391 nucleotides) under Chrysolophus pictus (golden pheasant). RNAcentral describes it as "lncRNA (ENSCPIG00010014458.1)". The record is from RNAcentral. Lineage: Eukaryota; Metazoa; Chordata; Aves; Galliformes; Phasianidae.